CAGGACCAGCAGCUUACACCCACCUCCCUCUAACUUCCAGCCUCCCCACCAAACCCACCCCCUCUCUGGUGGCGCGGGGAGGGGCUAGAGCAAAGCAACAGUCGCCAGAUGGGCUCAGCAUUGGGCAAGAAGGGAAGGGCUGCAGGACAGGACAAGAGAGACCUCAAACGAUGAGCUGAGAGAAGAAAUGUAAGGGGCUGGAGUAGGGAAGAAUAACCCCAACGUAAAAAGCUAGGACCGGGAGGGAAGCUGAGUCGGGGUUUUCCAGGGAGUUUGAGGUGGACUAAACGAGGAGGCCAGGCCAAGACUUUGUUAAAACCUCCUCAAAAGUGAGCACAAAUCACGAUGAACGGUGUUCUUCUCACAGUUGCUGUGUCUCUUCUCUGCCUGGUAAUGGGAAUGGAACUCAGUGCCUUGCACAUGCUAG
Long non-coding RNA from Marmota flaviventris (yellow-bellied marmot), 427 nucleotides. RefSeq lists it as uncharacterized. The record is from RefSeq and is a predicted model, not a curated record. Lineage: Eukaryota; Metazoa; Chordata; Mammalia; Rodentia; Sciuridae.